UGGGGAAUAUUGGACAAUGGGCGAAAGCCUGAUCCAGCCAUGCCGCGUGUGUGAAGAAGGUCUUCGGAUUGUAAAGCACUUUAAGUUGGGAGGAAGGGCAGUAAGCGAAUACCUUGCUGUUUUGACGUUACCGACAGAAUAAGCACCGGCUAACUCUGUGCCAGCAGCCGCGGUAAUACAGAGGGUGCAAGCGUUAAUCGGAAUUACUGGGCGUAAAGCGCGCGUAGGUGGUUCGUUAAGUUGAAUGUGAAAGCCCCGGGCUCAACCUGGGAACUGCAUCCAAAACUGGCGAGCUAGAGUAGGGCAGAGGGUGGUGGAAUUUCCUGUGUAGCGGUGAAAUGCGUAGAUAUAGGAUGGUACACUUGUUGCGACGGCGACCACCUGGCUUAACACUGACGCUGAGGUACGAAAGCAUGGGGAGCAAACAGG
Molecule: ribosomal RNA, 429 nt
Filed under: Pseudomonadota bacterium
Lineage: Bacteria; Pseudomonadati; Pseudomonadota
Description: Proteobacteria bacterium partial 16S ribosomal RNA
Rfam family: Bacterial small subunit ribosomal RNA
Source: RNAcentral